Molecule: small RNA, 2931 nt
Filed under: Pongo abelii (Sumatran orangutan)
Lineage: Eukaryota; Metazoa; Chordata; Mammalia; Primates; Hominidae
Description: retained intron
Source: RNAcentral
GCCCUGGCUCUGGAGGAGAAUGCCACCUCCCAGAAGGUGCUGGAUAUCUUUGAACAGCGGCUGGAGCAGGUUGAAAGUGGCCUCCAUCGGGCCCUGCGGCUACAGCGCUUCUUCCAGCAGGCACAUGAAUGGGUGGAUGAGGGCUUUGCUCGGCUGGCAGGAGCUGGGCCAGGUCGGGAGGCUGUGCUGGCUGCACUGGCCCUGCGGCGGGCCCCAGAGCCCAGUGCCGGCACCUUCCAGGAGAUGCGGGCCCUGGCCCUGGACCUGGGCAGCCCAGCAGCCCUGCGAGAAUGGGGCCGCUGCCGGGCCCGCUGCCAAGAACUGGAGAGGAGGAUUCAGCAACACCUGGGAGAGGAGGCGAGCCCACGGGGCUACCGACGACGGCGGGCAGACAGUGCCAGUAGUGGAGGGGCCCAGUGGGGGCCCCACAGCCCCUCGCCCAGCCUCAGCUCCUUGCUGCUCCCCAGCAGCCCUGGGCCACGGCCAGCCCCAUCCCAUUGCUCCCUGGCCCCAUGUGGAGAGGACUGUGAGGAAGAGGGCCCUGAGCUGGCUGCAGAAGCAGAGGGCAGGCCCCCCAGAGCUGUGCUGAUCCGAGGCCUGGAGGUUACCAGCACUGAGGUGGUGGACAGGACGUGCUCACCACGGGAACACGUGCUGCUGGGCCGGGCUGGGGGGCCAGAUGGACCCUGGGGAGUAGGCACCCCCCGGAUGGAGCGCAAGCGAAGCAUCAGUGCCCAGCAGCGUCUGGUGUCUGAGCUGAUUGCCUGUGAACAAGAUUAUGUGGCCACCUUGAGUGAGCCAGUGCCACCCCCUGGGCCUGAGCUGACUCCUGAACUUCGGGGCACCUGGGCUGCUGCCCUGAGUGCCCGAGAAAGGCUUCGCAGCUUCCACCGGACACACUUUCUGCGGGAGCUUCAGGGCUGCGCCACCCACCCCCUACGCAUUGGGGCCUGCUUCCUUCGCCACGGGGACCAGUUCAGCCUUUAUGCACAGUAUGUGAAGCACCGACACAAACUGGAGAAUGGUCUGGCUGCGCUCAGUCCCUCAAGCAAGGGCUCCACGGAGGCUGGCCCUUACCUGCCCCGAGCCCUGCAGCAGCCUCUGGAACAGCUGGCUCGGUAUGGGCGGCUCCUGGAGGAGCUCCUGAGGGAAGCUGGGCCUGAGCUCAGUUCUGAGCGCCAGGCCCUUGGGGCUGCUGUACAGCUGCUCCAGGAACAAGAGGCCCGUGGCAGAGACCUGCUGGCCGUGGAGGCGGUGCGUGGCUGUGAGAUAGAUCUGAAGGAGCAGGGACAGCUCUUGCAUCGAGACUCCUUCACUGUCAUCUGUGGCCGAAAGAAGUGCCUUCGCCAUGUCUUUCUCUUUGAGCAUCUCCUCCUGUUCAGCAAGCUCAAGGGCCCUGAAGGGGGGUCAGAGAUGUUUGUUUACAAGCAGGCCUUUAAGACUGCUGACAUGGGGCUGACAGAAAACAUUGGGGACAGCGGACUCUGCUUUGAGUUGUGGUUUAGGCGGCGGCGUGCACGAGAGGCAUACACUCUGCAGGCAACCUCACCAGAGAUCAAACUCAAGUGGACAAGUUCUAUUGCCCAGCUGCUGUGGAGACAGGCAGCCCACAACAAGGAGCUCCGAGUGCAGCAGAUGGUGUCCAUGGGCAUUGGGAAUAAACCCUUCCUGGACAUCAAAGCCCUUGGGGAGCGGACGCUGAGUGCCCUGCUCACUGGAAGAGGUGAGGGCCAGGGUGCUGGGGGGUGGCCCCCAGGAGUGAAGACCUUGACAAUGAGGAUACAAAGGGGAGGUGUGGUGGAAAGUCAGGAAAAGCAUCUCGUCCCCAAAUCAGUGGGACUGGCUGGGAGGCCCUCUGUGAGACUGAGGGUCAUUCCAAGGAGCCAAGAGGGCUUUCCCACACCAGCACCCCACCCCCCACUCCCCACUCUCUGCAGCCGCCCGCACCCGGGCCUCCGUGGCCGUGUCAUCCUUUGAGCAUGCCGGCCCCUCCCUUCCCGGCCUUUCGCCGGGAGCCUGCUCCCUGCCUGCCCGCGUCGAGGAGGAGGCCUGGGAUCUGGACGUCAAGCAAAUUUCCCUGGCCCCAGAAACACUUGACUCUUCUGGAGAUGUGUCCCCAGGACCAAGAAACAGCCCCAGCCUGCAAACCCCCCACCCUGGGAGCAGCACUCCCACCCUGGCCAGUCGAGGGAUCUUAGGGCUAUCCCGACAGAGUCAUGCUCGAGCCCUGAGUGACCCCACCACGCCUCUGUGACCGGGGUGAGUCAGCAUCCCCAAUUUCUACCACAUCCAACACUCCUUCCAUCUUGCAUGUACCUUCCUUCCUGUCCCCGGCUUCCUGGGAGUCAGCUUCUUCCCUCUCCCAACUCAUCUCCCUCUUCUCUCCUGGCUUCUAGAGAAGACCCAGAACUUGCGUGCAGCUUCUCCUCUCAGCACACUUUGGGCUGGGAUGGCAGUGGGGCAUAAUGGAGCACUGGGCGAUCACUGAAUUUCUUCCCUCUGCUUCCUGGACACAGAGGAGGUCUAACGACCAGAGUAUUGCCCUGCCACCACUAUCUCUAGUCUCCCUAGCUUGGUGCCUUCUCCUUCAGGAGCCAGAGCAGCUACACUGCUUGCCUUCAUACCCUGGAGGUGGGGACGUUAUCCCUCUUCCGGUGCUUUCCCAUCCUGGGCCACUGUAUCCAGGACAUCACUCCCAUGCCAGCCCUCCCUGGCAGCCCAUGUUCUCCUCUUUUCUCACCCCCUGACUUUCCCUGAGAAGAAUCAUCUCUGCCAGGUCAACUGGAGUUCCUGGUGACUCCAUUCUGAGGUAUCACAAGAAAUGAAGCUAUGCAAACAAUAAUAGGAGGGUGCAACAGGGGAACUGUAGACUUUAUAUAUGUAAUUACUGUUAUUAUAAUACUAUUGUUAUAUUAAACAUAUUUACUCACA